CCUACGGGGGGCAGCAGUGGGGAAUAUUGCGCAAUGGGCGAAAGCCUGACGCAGCGACGCCGCGUGAGGGAUGAAGGUCUUCGGAUCGUAAACCUCUGUCAGCAGGGAAGAACGGUCACUGUGCUAAUCAGCCGUGAAUUGACGGUACCUGCAAAGGAAGCACCGGCUAACUCCGUGCCAGCAGCCGCGGUAAUACGGAGGGUGCGAGCGUUAAUCGGAAUUACUGGGCGUAAAGCGCUCGUAGGCGGUAUGUCAAGUCAAGGGUGAAAUCCCCGCGCUCAACGUGGGAACUGCCUUUGAAACUGGCAAACUGGAGUGUGUGAGAGGAUAGUGGAAUGCCAGGUGUAGGGGUGAAAGCCGUAGAUAUCUGGAGGAACAUCAGUGGCGAAGGCGACUAACUGGCACAUAACUGACGCUGAGGAGCGAAAGCGUGGGUAGCAAACAGGAUUAGAUACCCUAGUAGUC
This 465-nucleotide ribosomal RNA is filed under the name uncultured bacterium. Its description in RNAcentral is "partial 16S ribosomal RNA". It matches the Rfam family "Bacterial small subunit ribosomal RNA", at positions 338 to 795 of the family's 1533-position model. The record is from RNAcentral.